AGCUCCAAUAGCGUAUAUUAAAGUUGUUGCAGUUAAAAAGCUCGUAGUUGGAUUUCUGGUUGGACCGAUCGGUCCUUCACUUGGUGUUGGUACUUGAAUCGCGUCCGGCCAUCCUUGGGGAGAGCCUGCGUGGCAUUAAGUUGUCGUGCAGGGGAUCCCCAUCGUUUACUGUGAAGAAAUUAGAGUGUUCAAAGCAGGCUUACGCCGUUGAAUACAUUAGCAUGGAAUAAUAAGAUAGGACCUUGGUACUAUUUUGUUGGUUUGCGCACCAAGGUAAUGAUUAAUAGGGACAGUUGGGGGUAUUCGUAUUCAAUUGUCAGAGGUGAAAUUCUUGGAUUUCUGGAAGACGAACUACUGCGAAAGCAUUUACCAAGGAUGUUUUCAUUA
This 387-nucleotide ribosomal RNA is filed under the name Paralia sp. Its description in RNAcentral is "partial small subunit ribosomal RNA". It matches the Rfam family "Eukaryotic small subunit ribosomal RNA", at positions 587 to 975 of the family's 1831-position model. The record is from RNAcentral. Lineage: Eukaryota; Bacillariophyta; Melosirophyceae; Paraliales; Paraliaceae.